GACGUGGUGGGGAAGCAGAGUAAAAGUUCAGCAAGUGCAGUGGGACGUAGGGAGGAAUAAAGGGGAGGCAGACGGGUCCAAGAGCAAAUUACGUGAGGAGCAGCUGUUUGCUUCCUUUUAGGAAGAAGUGGUGAUGUUUCCUCAGUGAUUUGCUUUUAGUCAGAUAAACACAGCUGGGGGUAAGAGAUUCAUCAGGCUGGGCAGAGCUAUACAUCUGCCCCAAAGAGCUAAAGUUGCCAGAUUUAGCUCAACCACUUCACUGCAGAAAGGUUGAGGUUAGGAGCACUUUCACACCCUGCGGAAAGAGAACCAGCUUUAUUUUGAGCUGCUAGGAAAAGAACUGGAGUGAGAAUCUGACCCUAAGAAAAAAAGAGAAAUGGGCUUCCUGGCACCUGGAUAGUCAGAGUACAUAACAGAGCACUCUUCUGGCCAGAUCAUAGUUUGUUAUCUUCUAGAUAUGUAAGUUUUAGAAAUUAUAAUGAGCAAUAUUUAGGUGGAGACUUUUGUUUCAGGUUAAGCUUUAUUCGGAUGGUAUUUAACCUGCUUUGAAAAAGUCAGAAGUUUUAAUGUGUUUUGUGAGGCUGUGCUAGCACCAUGUGGACUUUAAUUGUAAUGCCAUUAGAAUACCCUGUGAGAGGUGAAUUUAGAGAGCUGGAUUAUGAAGGCAAGUGCUUUACAGAUGAAAACAAGCCAUAGUGCUCAUCUCAAGGAUUUUAUAAUCUCAAGCAUCAGCAUCAAAAUACACUGAAGAUAAAUUAUGGACCAUAUAACAAGAACAGAUGAGCUGUGGUAAUCAUAUAAUCAUUGUGAAUGCUUUAUUGAUUUAUGCUUUCUAAGGCAUAAGUUUAAAAGAUGAAGGGAGGAGCUACAGAACUUGGAAUGGCAUGAGUUGGCAUGAAGACGAAUGAAAGAAGAAGUUAGAAGUAAGUCCCGAGUCAGUGAAGUACCUACCAUUCUGCUUGUCUAGCACAGGAUGUUUCAUCUUAGCAUCUAAUGGAACUCAGGCAUCCAAAUAGAUUUACAAAAUUUGAGUUAAACAACUAAACCAAAGCAUUCAUAUCUUCCAUUGCUAAAGAGGAUACACACUGAUUUUUAGCAACAAUUAAAAAUUGCCAUAUGAUUUUGAUGGCCUACAUACAAUCCAGGCCCCUUACUGCUCACCGUAGAUGUGAACUUAGAAGAUAAUUUUAAAGUCAGUUUUCCUGUGACAAGGGAAUGCUUGUCAGAAGUUAGAUAGAGCCUGACUAGUUAAUAAAUUGCUUUCGGGCUCUGCUAGAAGAUCA
Molecule: long non-coding RNA, 1283 nt
Filed under: Coturnix japonica (Japanese quail)
Lineage: Eukaryota; Metazoa; Chordata; Aves; Galliformes; Phasianidae
Description: lncRNA (ENSCJPG00005004460.1)
Source: RNAcentral